RNAcentral lists this transfer RNA (76 nucleotides) under Desulfovibrio litoralis DSM 11393. Its description in RNAcentral is "tRNA_Asn_GTT". It matches the Rfam family "tRNA". Rfam says of the family: Transfer RNA (tRNA) molecules are approximately 80 nucleotides in length. Lineage: Bacteria; Pseudomonadati; Thermodesulfobacteriota; Desulfovibrionia; Desulfovibrionales; Desulfovibrionaceae. The record is from RNAcentral.
UCCUCGGUAGCUCAGUCGGUAGAGCGGGUGACUGUUAAUCACUAGGUCCGCGGUUCAAGCCCGUGCCGAGGAGCCA